GGCUCCAUCCUUUUCUCCUUCCUGUGUCCAACUUUCUCUCCUUCUUCCUAGCCUUGCCAGCAUUUCCUAAUGAAGAGUCUUCCCUGGACCGCUCCUUACGAGAAGGAAACUGAGGCUCAGAGAGAUUAAAGAUCUCCCCGGGUCACACGGCAGUGUUAGGAUUAGAACCCGGACCUCCCGGCUUCCAGUCCCAAGGCCUUUCCAUUAGACCACACUGCCUUCCCAGCUGUUGGAUGACUUCGUCGGCUGACCGCAGAGAUCUGGAAGGGAGAUCAGGUGGCCCCUGCCGAACGCCCAGCCGAAAUGGAAUGGAGAGAAAGUGACCCAGUGGUUCCCCUUCCCUGUGACCUGUGCCCCCGCAACAAUUUGGAGUCGACAACGGCAGGGACGGAGAAGCAGACGGGCGGAGGAUGGGGAGGGAGGGGACCGGCCCCGGUGACAGCCGAGAUCUCCUGGCCGGAGCAUCCCUCCCUCGGCCCCCGCCGCCUGGCCCCGCUCCGUCUCCGGAGACUUCGGGAUCGGCUGAGGAAAGGCAGUUUGUCUCCCUGCCACCAUGCUGCUUGUGCCAAGAGGAAAGCAGCUCUCCCCGUGCUCGUCAUUAUGACUGCUGUGAGAGCAGAUGGGGCAGCUCUCCUGGAAGGAACAUGGGCUUGGAAAAUUAAUUUGCCCAAACCGAAACAUAUGAAAAAUAAUUGAGCCAUUUUGCUGAGACCAGAACCCUGGGGAGUUUAACUCGUCCCCAUUACUGCGCCUCCCUGCACCGCGCCUUGUCGCUACCUGCCGCACACUGCCCCUCCCAGACCCCUAUCAGCUGCACAGCCUCCACUGCACCUCCCACACCAUUCCCCUCAGCUGCAAAUUCUGCACUGCGCCUCCCACACGACACCCCUCCAGGCCAGGCCUCUCACGGCUUCCGGAGGACUCCGCCUGCCCUGAAACUUUUUAAGACAGGAUUUCAGGCAUCUUUUAUAGGACCAAUUCUCUAGCUCCAAGGG
Ornithorhynchus anatinus (platypus) is the source of this 995-nucleotide long non-coding RNA. RefSeq lists it as uncharacterized. NCBI's taxonomy places the organism in Eukaryota, Metazoa, Chordata, Mammalia, Monotremata, Ornithorhynchidae. The transcript is spliced from 3 exons. The record is from RefSeq and is a predicted model, not a curated record.